RNAcentral lists this long non-coding RNA (216 nucleotides) under Trifolium pratense (red clover). Its description in RNAcentral is "long non-coding RNA (TPRA_LNC004386)". Lineage: Eukaryota; Viridiplantae; Streptophyta; Magnoliopsida; Fabales; Fabaceae. The record is from RNAcentral.
AGUAAUAUAUAGAGAUAUCCAACAUAUCUUCAUUUCUUGUUUCCAUAUUGAUAUUCAUAUAUGAAUGACAAGAAGAUUAUACUUAUGCAAUCAAUUGUUCUGCAAAUCAACAUCUCCCUUAUUAUUGGGCUGAAUUGUUACUAUUGUCAUUUAUGUCCGUUUAAAAACGUUUCAUCAUAUUAGCGAGUGAAUGCCCUUACCAAUCAUUUGUACAUU